CAUCUCUCAUUCUCUUCUGUCUCUCAUUCGCUUCUGUCUUGUAUGAAAUUCAUAGGUUUCAGAGAUCUCAAAUUUCAUAUCAAGCCGACCUAUUUAUUUUUCGCUUUAGGGUUUCGAGGUUUACAUACGAAAGUUGUUUUAGGGUUCAGUCUCUCUUAUGUCGUCUCCAAAAACUCUCAAGAGCAGCAAUACAGAGAAGAAGAAAGGCCCUAAACUUCUCAUUUCCUUGGUUUGUGAUUUGAGAGAUCGUGAAGAGGAAUGACGCUUUCCUCGUCAAAGAGUUUGGAAAUAGAAAUCAAAUGGUUCAGUUCAGAAAGAACCUAAUAAUCUAUACAACGUUAACACCUUCAAACACUUUGGGUUAGCUACUGCAAAGUCUAUUUCAGUUCAAGCUGGAAAAGAUUCAGGUGUUGUUCUGGCUACUAUCAAGACUAACAAACAGAAGUACCAUUCAGCUUUGGUGCACAAAAAUGUCAUGGAACUAGGAAACAUACCUCUUCUUGUUGUAUACUAAAAUUCAGGAAAAUCUGUCUGAAAGAGUAUUAGAGCUUCUUGCGUUGCCCGGGGAUGAUGUUCCGCGGGUGCUCCUUGAUAUUGGAUGUGGCUCUAGACUAAGCGGAGAAACAUCAUCUGAGAGUGGACACCAAUGGAUUGGUUUACACAUAUCUGAUUCAAUGCUAGUGAAACAAUGUUGCGCUGGAGCGGGAAGUAGAUGGUGAUCUUUUGCUAAGCGAUAUGGGUCAGGACUUGGGUUUCAUGGAUGGAGUUAUUAAUGGUGCUAUUAGCAUCUCAGCGGUGCAGUGGCUUUUCUAUGCGGACAGUUCCUCUCAUAAUCCAAGACUGAGAUUGAAGGCAUUCUUUGGAUCACUAUAUCGGUGUUUACCCUGAAGUGAUCCUCUUCGAACACCAAGUACAUAGCCUAUACCUCCUCCGAUGCUAAAUAUGUAGGAGGUGAUUCGCGUAUUGCGGCUGCUUCACCGGUGUAUAUAAAUCUUUUCGUACUUUCAUAUACUGGACGCUGGGAAUUCGUCUCGUAUUGCCCUUCAAUUGGUUAAGGUUCUUCUUGACCAGUUCUUUAUUUUCCUUAUAUGACGACUGGUAACUCAUGUUGCCCUUGCAAUUGAAGUUCCCCGGGGUUAGCUUAACAAGAAGGAUGCCAUGGCUGCUACUGUACUUCAGUUUUUAAUGGGAGGAGGUGGAUCCUUUUCAGCUGGUGGCCCGGGAAAGGGAUGCACUCACGGUUUAUUUAUUAAUGAUGGCAUUAUCAGUCUGUUGUCGUUUAUUUAUUAAUGAUGGCCAAUUUUUUUACAUGGAUUCUGAUGUAACUAGUUCUGAAUAGAGUAUCACCAGAUUCAGUCAUUUUCUGCAUUCAGCAGCAUCUACACUUGACACUGACCUAUUUAGAGUUCAUGCAUCUACUGUGAGCGUUGUACCAUUUAUGACUCUACUACAUAUUUUAGCAUAACCAAAAGGAAGUUUUUCAGACACGGUUGUAUAAUCCAAUGACUAUUUAAAUAUUCUAUAAUCUUUCCACUAACAAAACAUUAUUAAUUUCUAGUCCAAGGUAUCAAACGUAGAAAGAUGCAUCGGCAAAAAACUUCUCAGAACAUGGGACAUACUUGCUGAGAGGUGUCUAUUACAACAAUAUGAAAUGGCAAGCAGCAAUCAAGGUGGACAAGAAACAAAUCCACAUCCCAUUUGUAUGACAGGAAUAUAGGGAGUGUCAGCUCUGCAUCCCUGCACCACUGUCUACUAGGGUUGGCGUAUUACGACCUGCUGAACUUAAUGAACUUUUUUCAACUCCACCAGAAAGUCCUUGGAGUAAAGCUCCACAUAAGGAAUCUGCAGAGAAGACUGCAUUAGGAGAGUAAUCCUUUGAUGGAUUCUUGGCACAGUGGACCCUUAUGACAUUGUUAGAUCCGGUUAAAAGUGUAGCCAAUUUGGUUUACAUCGGAUACCAAGGAAACAUUUCCUUUGUCCUGCAUAUAACCAGACGAAUAAGGUUAGAUCGCAAGAAGCAACAAUCAGAUAGAAAUGUUUUCCAGUACUUCAUCUUUGGACCUAAAAGGUGUUGGGAAGUCAUCAUUUAUCAACUCUUUACUCGGAAGGUAUGGUACUUGUUGAAGUUAUUGAUAAAAUAAACUUGCAGAGUGAUGUCAAACCUUAUAGAAUCAUACUGAAUAAGAUCCUUAUGUUAUGAAUAAGAUCUUUUGAUACCACACAAAAUUUGUAUGUCCUUAGAACUUUUGUAACGUGGUUCUUAAUUUUUGUGUAUAUGGAGUUGAUCAUUGAAUGACAUGGUGGAUUAA
This is a long non-coding RNA of Papaver somniferum (opium poppy), 2309 nucleotides long. RefSeq lists it as uncharacterized. Lineage: Eukaryota; Viridiplantae; Streptophyta; Magnoliopsida; Ranunculales; Papaveraceae. The transcript has 14 exons. The record is from RefSeq and is a predicted model, not a curated record.